Non-coding RNA from Arachis ipaensis, 140 nucleotides. NCBI's taxonomy places the organism in Eukaryota, Viridiplantae, Streptophyta, Magnoliopsida, Fabales, Fabaceae. The record is from RefSeq and is a predicted model, not a curated record.
UGCUGGAUUUUUUAUUCAUGUCUUGUUAAUUUGCUAAAUUGUCAAGUUGUUGUUUUGCUAGAUUGUUGUGUUGCAUUGUUUUAAUUUGCUGGAUUGAGAAUUUGAGAUUGAGAUUUUUCUUUUUUUUUGUUAUUUGUAGU